CGGUGCCAGCAGCCGCGGUAAUUCCAGCUCCAAUAGCGUAUAUUAAAGUUGUUGCAGUUAAAAAGCUCGUAGUUGAAUUUCGGGAUCAAUACGUUGGUCGUGCUUUCGGGUACGUACUGGCGUCGUUGGUUUCUCUCUUCUGACGAACCAUGAUGUCAUUAGUUUGGUGUUAUGGGGAGUUAGGACUGUUACUUGAAAAAAUUAGAGUGUUUAAAGCAGGCAUUAGCUUGAAUACAUUAGCAUGGAAUAAUGAAAUAGGACGUUUGAUCCUAUUUUGUUGGUUUACUAGGAUCGACGUAAUGAUUAAUAGGGAUAGUUGGGGGCAUUAGUAUUCAAUUGUCAGAGGUGAAAUUCUUGGAUUUAUUGAAGACUAACUACUGCGAAAGCAUUUGCCAAGGAUGUUUUCAUUAAUCAAGAACGAAAGUUAGGGGAUCGAAGACGAUCAGAUACCGUCGUAGUCUUAACCAUAAACUAUGCCGACUAGGGAUCGGAUGAUGUUAAUUUUUUAAUGACUCAUUCGGCACCUUACG
RNAcentral lists this ribosomal RNA (530 nucleotides) under uncultured Glomus. Its description in RNAcentral is "SSU rRNA". It matches the Rfam family "Eukaryotic small subunit ribosomal RNA", at positions 562 to 1092 of the family's 1831-position model. The record is from RNAcentral. Lineage: Eukaryota; Fungi; Glomeromycota; Glomeromycetes; Glomerales; Glomeraceae.